This is a small nuclear RNA of Rattus rattus (black rat), 142 nucleotides long. RefSeq annotates it as U4 spliceosomal RNA. The transcript has a single exon. Lineage: Eukaryota; Metazoa; Chordata; Mammalia; Rodentia; Muridae. The record is from RefSeq and is a predicted model, not a curated record.
AGCUUUGCGCAGUUGCAGUAUCGUAGCCAAUGAAGUUUAUCCAAGGCACGAUUAUUGCUAAUUGAAAACUUUUUCCAAAUGUUGAGGAGACUCCUUAGUGCCCAAGAAAGUGUUGGCUUGUGUCCUUGUCCCCAUCCAGCAC